Molecule: ribosomal RNA, 496 nt
Filed under: uncultured bacterium
Lineage: Bacteria
Description: partial 16S ribosomal RNA
Rfam family: Bacterial small subunit ribosomal RNA
Source: RNAcentral
GAUGAACGCUGGCGGCGUGUCUAAUACAUGCAAGUCGAGCGAACGGACGAGAAGCUUGCUUCUCUGAUGUUAGCGGCGGACGGGUGAGUAACACGUGGAUAACCUACCUAUAGACUGGGAUAACUUCGGGAAACCGUAGCUAAUACCGGAUAAUAUUUUGAACCGCAUGGUUCAAAAGUGAAAGACGGUCUUGCUGUCACUUAUAGAUGGAUCCGCGCUGCAUUAGCUAGUUGGUAAGGUAACGGCUUACCAAGGCAACGAUGCAUAGCCGACCUGAGAGGGUGAUCGGCCACACUGGAACUGAGACACGGUCCAGACUCCUACGGGAGGCAGCAGUAGGGAAUCUUCCGCAAUGGGCGAAAGCCUGACGGAGCAACGCCGCGUGAGUGAUGAAGGUCUUCGGAUCGUAAAACUCUGUUAUUAGGGAAGAACAUAUGUGUAAGUAACUGUGCACAUCUUGACGGUACCUAAUCAGAAAGCCACGGCUAACUACGUG